Molecule: long non-coding RNA, 4823 nt
Organism: Homo sapiens (human)
Lineage: Eukaryota; Metazoa; Chordata; Mammalia; Primates; Hominidae
Source: Ensembl
GGUUUUCCGGCACAGACCUUGGAGGGCAGCGUGGAAACUGGGUAACUGCAAGCAAGCUGAGGUAAGCUGCACGUUCCGCAUGGACGCCCUCAAGCGUGAUUCCCAAUUCCAAGACCCCGCGUCCCCACCGCCCGCUGACGAGAACGAUACCCGUGAGCACCGCUCCUCUCCAGUGGCCCGUUCAGUCACUCACAAGCGCCAGUUCUCAGAGGAGCCGCGGAAUCGCUGUCUUGGACAGUGAAGGGAGCUGGCGUUGGUAAUCACGCUGCAACUAGGAAUCCCUGACCUCGCCGAACCCUCAACUCACUGCCGGCUCCGAGUUUCAUAAAUUGCCGCGGAACAACCUCGACGCACUCUUGCGCACGCGCACCAGCUGUGGAAGGAACCCCCUAGGAGCCCCCGCGACCCGGAUCGGUGAGGUAGACCAGGCCUUUGCCAGCCCCGUCCCUUUCUGCAGGCCCCGUCCCUUUCUGCAGGCCCCGCCCACGCCGCACACUUGGAACUCUGGCCCUGUGAAUGGACUCACGUGGCAAUGGAUGCAGCAAUAUUCAGUUUCCAGAAUCAGCAGCUCCGGCAGCAGUGUCCUGUGCUGAUGGUGUUGGCAGAUAUGCCUGCUUCCUCUUCCACCAUGAUUGCAAGUUUCCUGAGGCCUCUCCAGCCAUGUGGAACUAGAUGGAGUGUCACUAUGUUGCCCAGGCUGGUCUCAAACUCAUAGCCUCAAGCAAUCCUUCCACCAAGGCCUCCCGAAGUGUUGAGAUUACAGGUGUGAGCCACCGCACCCAGCCUAAAAAUACUGUUUAAAGAAACUAAAAAUGCAUAGUAUAAGGGGAAAGAAAAAAGUUCAGUAUGACUAUAAUUGAAUGAAUAAGUGAAUGAUAAAAAUUGAAGUUGGAAAGAUAAGCUAAAACUUGACUAUAAGGAUUCUUGUAUGACACACUAAAAACAUUAGUUUUAUUCUGAUCAUGAGAGUGAAUCAAGAGUUUUUAAGCAUGAGAAUGACAGAUCAUCAUACGUGUGUUCAGAAAAAACUCCGGGGAUGCUAAAGAGUAUGAAUUGGAAUGAGUUGUAUGUGUAAGUCUGCAGCAGGCUGGGAGAUAGGAAGACCAAUUAGUGUAACCGUGAAACCAGACCAAUCUGGUUCAACUUUUAUGUAACAAAGGAAUGAGUCAUUUUUCAGUUGCCAUAGACCCUAGGUUGCAAGUUAGGUAAUUUGAGCAUGCCCAGAUGAACGAAGUACACAAUCGUGAGUGGAACCUAAUGGCUUAGUCCAAGAAACAGGGACGGAAUUAACAAGCAGACAACACAUGAUCCAAUCAGAUUGAGCCCUGACAUCAUCCCGUGGCAUAAUCCAGUCAGAUCACGCCUCCCAGCAUUACCUCAUUCACACCUCAUUACUCUGUCUAUGAAACCUGCCCCAGUCCCCAGCUCAGGGAGACAGAUUUGAGCAUUUCCUUCUGUUUCCUUGCCAGUUGACUUGCAAUAAAGCUGUUUUUCUCAAAAGCUAGUGACAUGGUACUGGCUUCUAUGCUCUUUGGGCAGUGAGCCCUUGCUCAGUAACAUUAGGAGGCUCCAAUAUUAAUCCUGGUGGGAGAUAUAAGAUAUGAGUCAAUGCCGAAGUUUCAUCUCUGCAGGAGUGAUGUGUUGGAACCCCGUGAAUGGACAGGAUGUCUAGGGGACAGUAUACAGGGAGGAGAGAAGAGGGCCAAUGAAUUAACUCCAAGGACAAAUACAAUUUUAAAAGACUUGGAAAAUAACACAAAGAAUCUGUACUUGGACACAUGGAGGAAUACCGAGAGAAUCUGUGGUUAUAGAAGGCAAGAUUAUAAAAAGUUUCAAGAGCUAAAUUCCAUUUACAAAAGCAUCCAAGAGAACUUAAAGAGCAUUCGAUUUCUUCAAGAAUAUCUUUAGAUCAAUAGCUGUUCUGAACCUUGGAUCACUUGACUCUGUUGUCACUUCUUCCCACCAAAGACCUGGUCCCUCUGGAUGUCCUUCUCCAGAAUCAUAGUCUCAGAGCUGGAAGGGACCCUGGAGACAUCAGAGUACAAGCCUAAGAGUCUCUGCUAAGUUCUUUCUCCCUCUAACACAGCUACGCCUGGGCUGAGCUCUGUUAUCACUGACUUCUGUCUUCAGUCUCCUUUACCCCUAGAGAUGCUGACUAACCACUCUAUUAAUGAGCAGUCACAGGCUGUGACCUCAUUAAAAAGUAGCUAAUGAGGCACUUUGUUGUUCAGGAAGCAGUCUACCGAGGUUCCCAGUGGCCUAUCUUGGGGCGUGGAGGGAAAGCUUAGGUGAAUAGAAGGGAUCAGGUCUGGGGGAGAGGGCUAAUGAUUGAGGCUGCAGAGCCAUAGCUUCAAAUAAACUCAUCUUGGCAAGCAGCCACCUUUGAAGCUCAAGUCCCUGCUGGCCUGCAGGUAGACAGGAGUAGAUGUGGUUCAGAGUGGCAGCGAUUUCCCUCUGAGCUGUCAGCUCUGCCUAAUGCCUGCUCUCUUGACCCAUUUUGAUGGAGAGCUUUAACAUUUGAAAUCAAGAGGUGGUUUUGUGUUGCUGUGAGUUUGUGAAUUAUGAACAAUUGUAUAAGCCUUUUGAUUGGUCUCUAUCUCGCAGGCUGUGUCUUCUUGCAAUUCAUUCUAUAUAUAGAAGGGCCUUGUAUGCUGAAGACUGUGUGUGUGUGUGUGUGUGUGUGUGUGUGUGUGUGUGUGUGUGUGUAUUUGAGACAGGGUCUUGGUCUGUCUCCCAAGCUGGAGAGUACAUCAUCUUGCACUCCAGAUGCAUCAGUGGCAUCAUCUUGGCUUACUGCAGCCUGGACCGCCAGGACUCAAGUGAUCCUCCCACCUCAGCCUCCUGAGUAACUAGGACUAUAGGCACGUGCCAUCACACCCAGUUAAUUUUUGUAUUGUUUUAUAGAGACAGGGUUUCAUCAUGUUUCCCAAGCUAGUCUUGAAUUCUGGAGUUCAAGGGAUCCUCCUGCCUCCUGCUCAAUCCCAAAGUGCUAGGACUACAGGCAUGAGCCACUGCACCCAAUCCCUUCAAUAUUUUUUUCCUUUCUACCCUUCCACCCUCAUCUCCCAUGUUAUCAAUUUCAUCAUUAUUACUACUCUUAUCACCAUCACCUUCAUGGGUAUCAUCAUAAUUAAUAUUUGUAUAGUGCUCAAAUGUUCCUCAGUGUAUUUAAACCUCACAACAAUGCCAUCAAAUAGGUGCUGUGGCUAAUCCUCAUUUAAUAGAAUAACGCUGAGGCAGAUAUGUCAUGUAGCUUGACCUAUGUCUUAUAGCUACUCAGAGAAACAGGAUUACAUCCCAGGCGUUUGGUUCUAGAGUGUAUGCUCUUACCUAUGAUGUUGUACAUCAUGAAGAUUUAGGCUUCUGUGCUUUUUGCACUCACUACUGGCUUGUCAUGGAAUGCUCAUCUCACAGGCACCCUCAAAUCAUGGCUCCCAUUCCUUCUUACACUUCUUAAUUUGCUACUUCUGAUCAUUUGACACUAGGACCUGGGAUCCUAAUGUCCAAGGAACAUGUCCAUCUCCCCACUGAACUGAGACUUCUUGCACAUCAAGUAUUUAGUUGGGUUCAGUAACUUAUAGUGGUAUUACUGAAUAUUUUAGUAUAUAUUAUACUUGUUUAAAUAUACAAUACUAUAUCCUCUUUGGGAAACUGGAAACUGCUCUUGCCCUUUCUAUUGCUGUCAUGUCCCUGCUCAUCCUCCCAUUUUUUCCUAUCUCAAUAAACUUCUACCAAACUGGUUGCUUAUGCCAGAAAUAUGGGUGUAGUCUUUGACACCAGUCUAACACUAAACUAUCAGAAGCUCUCACCUAGACUACUGCCAUAGUGUCCUACACUAAUCUCUUUAUACUCUUGCCACUUGCAAUAAAUUAUCUACCCAGUAGACAUAUUUAUCUUUAAAAAUACCACUCUUUGCUCAAAAUGCUUCAUAACUGUCCAUUUCAUUAGACUAAGAUCUAAAAUCUAUAAGAUGGUCCAAAAAAUUCUCAUUUAUCUGACCUCUUUUACCUAUACAACUAAUUUUACCUGUUUCAUUCUUAUUCACAAAAUUUCAAAUAGGUUUUUUUCUGUUUUGGAAUCAGGAUAAUAUUAGCCUCACAGAGUGAAUUGGGAAGUGUUCUCUCUUUAAUUUUUUGGAACAGUUUAUAAAAAAUUGGUGUUAAUUCAUCUUAAAAGUAUGUUAGAAUUCACUAGUGAAGCCAUCUAGCCCUGGGCUUUUGUUUGUGGGAGGAUUUUUUAUUAUUAAUUCUACCACUUUAGUUGUUACAGGUCUAUUGAGAUUUUAUUUCUUUUUAGUCAGUUUGGUUUUGUGUCUUUUAGGAAAUUUGCAUUUUAUCUAGGUUCUCUAGUUUGUUGACAUGCAGUUGUCCAUAGCAUCCCUUAUAAUCCGUUUCAUUUUGGUAAAGUUGGUUAUAAUGUCCCCCGCCCCUUUCAUUUCUGAUUUUAGUAAUUUGAAUCUUUUUUUCUUUUUGGCUUGAUCAUUGUAGCUAAUAGUUGGUCAAUUUUGUGAGUGUUUUCCAAGAACCAACUUUUGAUUACAUUUUCUCUAUUAUUUUCUAUUCUAUAUUUAAUUAAUUUUUGCUGUGAUUUUAAAAAUCAUUAUAUAAAAAUGUUUAUUAGUUUAUUCCUUCUGCUCACUCUGUGUUCAGUUUGCUGUUCUAUUUCUAAUUUCUGAAGAUGGAAUCUUAGGAUAUUUAUUUGAAAUAUUUCCUUUUAAUUUUUAAAAUGUUGGUGUAAAAUGACCUUUCAUAGUUGUAUAUAUUCCUGGGGUACAAACUGAUGUUAUAAUUUAUUACAAUAUAGAAUAAUUAAAUCGAGUGAAU